Molecule: ribosomal RNA, 713 nt
Filed under: uncultured bacterium
Lineage: Bacteria
Description: bacterial SSU rRNA
Rfam family: Bacterial small subunit ribosomal RNA
Source: RNAcentral
GCACGGGUGCGUAACGCGUGGGAAUCUGCCCUUGGGUUCGGAAUAACAGUUAGAAAUGACUGCUAAUACCGGAUGAUGUCUUCGGACCAAAGAUUUAUCGCCCAGGGAUGAGCCCGCGUAGGAUUAGGUAGUUGGUGGGGUAAAGGCCUACCAAGCCGACGAUCCUUAGCUGGUCUGAGAGGAUGAUCAGCCACACUGGGACUGAUACACGGCCCAGACUCCUACAGGAGGCAGCAAUGGGGAAUAUUGGACAAUGGGGGCAACCCUGAUCCAGCAAUGCCGCGUGAGUGAUGAAGGCCUUAGGGUCGUAAAGCUCUUUUACCAGGGAUGAUAAUGACAGUACCUGGAGAAUAAGCUCCGGCUAACUCCGUGCCAGCAGCCGCGGUAAUACGGAGGGAGCUAGCGUUGUUCGGAAUUACUGGGCGUAAAGCGCACGUAGGCGGUUAUUCAAGUCAGAGGUGAAAGCCCGGGGCUCAACCCCGGAACUGCCUUUGAAACUAGAUGACUGGAAUCUUGGAGAGGUCAGUGGAAUUCCGAGUGUAGAGGUGAAAUUCGUAGAUAUUCGGAAGAACACCAGUGGCGAAGGCGACUGACUGGACAAGUGUUGACGCUGAGGUGCGAAAGCGUGUGGAGCAGACAGGAUUAGAUACCCUGGUAGUCCACGCCGUAAACGAUGAUAACUAGCUGUCCGGACACUUGGUGUUUGGGUGGCG